GGACGGGACGGGACGGGACGGGAACGGUCCAGGUUCGCACGGCGGGAGCGUCCCCGCACCUGCUAUCCCGUAUGCGCUGCGCCCAGAGCAGCGCUGCCGCUGCGGAGCCCUAAGCAAAGCCAAGCGCCCUCCGCCGCCCCCGGGGGGCUGCUGGCGGGCCAUGGCGGUGGCAGGCACCGAGCUGCCCGGCGGCAACGUCAGCGCCAACCAGAGCGCCGCCGACCCCACGGUGUCGCGGGACGUGUGGAUGGUGGGCAUGGGGAUCCUCAUGUCUCUGAUCGUGCUGGCCACCGUCUUCGGCAACGUGCUGGUGAUCACUGCCAUCGCCCGGUUCCAGCGCCUGCAGACUGUCACCAACUACUUCAUCACCUCGCUGGCCUGCGCUGACCUGGUGAUGGGGCUGGCCGUGGUGCCCUUCGGCGCCUGCCACAUCAUCAUGGAGAUGUGGCAGUUUGGGAACUUCUGGUGUGAGUUCUGGACCUCCUUGGAUGUGCUCUGUGUCACGGCCAGCAUUGAGACCCUCUGUGUCAUUGCUGUGGACCGGUACUUCGCCAUCACUUCCCCUUUCAAGUACCAGAGCCUGCUGACUAAGAGCAAGGCGCGCAUAGUUGUCCUCAUCGUGUGGGUGGUCUCAGCCCUCACCUCCUUCUUGCCCAUCCAAAUGCACUGGUACCGGGCAGACCAUGCAGAGGCCAUCCAGUGCUAUGAGAAGGACACAUGUUGUGACUUUUUCACCAACCAAGCCUAUGCCAUUGCCUCCUCCAUCAUCUCCUUCUACGUGCCACUCAUCAUCAUGGUAUUCGUGUAUGCCAGGGUCUUCCAGGUGGCCAAGAAGCAGUUGCAGAAGAUAGACAGGAGCGAGGGGAGGUUUCACACCCAGAACAAGGAGCAGGAGCAGAAAGGGGGAGCUGGGUACCGCCGUGCCUCCAAGUUCUUGAAGGAGCACAAGGCCCUCAAGACCUUGGGCAUCAUCAUGGGCACCUUCACGCUGUGCUGGCUGCCAUUCUUCAUUGUCAACAUCGUGCACGUCAUCCAGGACAACAUCAUUCCCAAGUACGUGUACAUCCUCUUGAACUGGCUGGGCUAUGUCAACUCUGCCUUCAACCCUUUGAUCUACUGCCGGAGCCCGGACUUCAGGUACGCCUUCCAGGAGCUCCUGUGCUUCCGCAGGUCUGCCCUGAAGAUGUAUGCCAACGGCUACUCCAACAGCAACGACAGGGGCGACUACAACGAGGAGGAAAACGGCUACCCCCUGGCACCGGAUAAAACCUGCGACUUGCUCUGUGAAGAGGGUUCCUUCCCUCACCCCGAGGACUUUUUGCACUGCAAAGGUACUGUGCCUAGCGGGUAGGGUACUGUGGGCUCUGAUGUGGCACACAGUGGUUGUACAGAGGAGUCUUUCUAAGGAAAAUCAACUUCCUCCCUUAAUAAUAAUAGUGAUCCUCUUCUAGAGCGCCCCUAAAAUCUAAUGGCUGCGAGAAACCCCAAACUCAAGCCUUAUGCAAGUGGGGGCUGGCUCCGGCUAGGGCAGGUGGGCUGCUGGCGGCCUCCCUGGUUAGGGGCACGACCAAGGGUCCCUUAAGUGGGGUCAGAGAGAUGAGUCUGUGCAGAAUGCACGUUCUCGGAAGGAGUUUCUGGCCGCGGCCGGUGUUGAACUACCUCAUGACCUUGCUGUGAGCAGCCGGUGGCUGCUGCGGGAGAGCCGUGCGGGGCGGCGGGAGCAGGGCUGGGGCUGGACCCCCCCUGCCCCGGCGGCAGCCCCGCAGAGGAGCCGGGCGCCUCGCGGGACUCCUCCUGAUUCUCUUCUCUUAACCGAGUCGGUGGCCGUGGGAAGCCCCCCCCGGCCAGGUGGGCAUCUCGGGCGGUGGUGCCAGUGCUGUCCAGCCCGGGGGACUGUGCGGAGGUGGCACUCUGCGGCAAAAUAGCGGGGAAGGGAUGCUGGGAGUGGGGCUGAGCGCGGGUCGCAGGGCUGGGUCACGGCCGCGGCUGUGGUCGGCAGUGGGACAGUUUUAUCAACGCCCAGAAACUGCGAAUGCUUUUUUUGCCAAGCGCUAUAGGACUUUCUGCGGAAAUAAUAAUAGGAAUAAAUGGACUAUUUGCUUAAAAUGUGAGCCUGUGACUGUGGGACUCAGGAAUGUUAUACUGGGAAGUCGGGUGACAUGCUGCUGCAACCACAGACCAUCGUUCUGCAUCCAACCAAAAGCUUUUAAAGCACCCAGUUUGUUUAACUACAAGUCUCACAGGACAGUGAGCCCGAGGGAAGGGGAGGAGGGUUUUUAUUUUCCAUGGCAUCCAGCUCAGCUCCCACCGUGGGACGGCUGCAGAGAUCCCUGGGUGUCCAGGAAUGGUCAAGAGUUGAAUGGACCAACCUCUCUUCCUCACCAUCCUGAGCUCAUGAGGGCUCUGAAGAGAUUGAGUGGGAGCACAGCCUUGCUUCCCUGAGCCUGGGGAUGCUGUGGGAAGUGAUUGCAUUGGCAAAUGUCUUCAUCCUAACCCAUAGCCCAUCGUGCAUCACCUGAAGAAGAAGCUGGUGAAAGAUAACCAGGGGACCAGGAAAGGCUCUGCUGGCCUUGGAGGACACCACCGGGGGACUGGCACUAUGAGAGGCACUUUGCAGGAGUCACUGCUUGUGGAACCAGCUCUGGAAAGAGGCUACAGGAGCCCUGUGAACUGAAGGAGAGGGAUGUCUAAAUCAUGAUAAAAGGUAGAGAGGUUUCCUGCGCACAGCAACCUUGGAAAGCACUUUCAAAAGGGGAGUACCCGGACCACGUGGUCAGCUCCAGUGUCUGAUUUGGAAGAGGCACAGCAAGGUCACUGCCUUAUGGUCAGAUCAGGAGACCAGCAGGAUGCCUGUUCGUGUGCUGGUCGGGGAUCCAGAUGAAACAGGAAUCUGUCCAAGACCAAGAGAGAAGAAGUGUGGAAGAUUGCUUUGACUUACUCUGUGCUUGUUUCUCCUUCUGGUGUCUUCUCUGUCUACUUCUUCUUCUCUGUAGGCCCAUAUACAUCAUGUGGGGCCCAGACUCUCACAAACAAGCAGAAGGAUUGGCACAGGGCAAAUCCUGCCCAGUGCAGAUGCAAUGUGGCCUUUGUUUGCUCCUUGUGCCAACAAAUGUGCAACUGUCAUGCCUGGACUUCAGACAGGAGAAAGGCUGGAACCUGACAGUUGUUUCACUUACAAGCAGUCACAUUCUAGCAUGACCAGCCACCCUUGGGAGCCAAGUUGUAACACCUGAGCCUCAAAACAUCAUAGAGCAUCUGUCCCUCUCCUGCAGCUGUGGGAAGGAGCAUAUGGACAGGCUGCAUGCUCAGCUCCUGCUUCUUGGAUUGGGAAAAACUCAUUAAGCAGUGAAAGACACAGAUGUGGAGGGAGUGACGGAUCUCAGGCAGAAAACAGUAGGAAAAACUGAUUAAAAACCAUAGGAAAAUGUGCACCUUUGACUUGCAGGUGGUGCCCCAGCUGUGGACUGUCAUGCCCAGCUGGGCAGCUGCAGAUGUCUGGUCACUGAGCUGCUCCCAGAGGCCUGGGCAAAACAUGCUGGUACCAAACUGUGCCGGGAGCCCCAUCUCAGACCUUCUCUCCUGGGCUUCCAGCUGCAAACCUCUUCCCUCAUGUGCAAUUGUAUUUAUUUAUUUAUUUUCUUGCUGCUUGAUGUGAAGCUGCUAAAUGAGCCACCUCCCCACAAACACCCUCAGCCAAGAGAGGAUGGAGGGAGGGGGCCUGUGGUGUGUCUGUGCAAGGAGACUGGGAAGAGGGGCAGGAGAGAGGGACACCUUCCAGGAGUAACCUUCUAGUGGAAGCUGUCCUUGUCCAUGGUGGAGAGGUUGGACUAGAUGAUCUUUAAGGUCCCUUCAAACCCAAACCAUUCUGUGAUUCUAUGAUAAACCUUGAACAAGAUGCCUCAUCCCCUGGAGGUGUUCAAGGCAAGGUUGGAUGGAGCUCUGAACAACCUGGUGUAGCAGAAGGUGUCCAUUCUAUGAUUCUAUGAUGUGGACAUGCCUACAGAGGGAGCAUACAAGGCAGGAGGAAAAGGCUGCAGUGAAACCCCAGUCUCCCUAGGGUGCAAUUUUGCUCUGUCAAGAACUAAGGACAAGCUGGGUAGAGCUUUGUUGGGAAGGACAGCAGGACAGCUGCAGCCUGCAUAAGCUUGGGAAUGUUCCUGUAGCCAAAUGUCCUCCAUGCAUCUGUGCUUGUGCAGGACAUUGUGCGAGUUGCUCACCCAGGUUGUGCCCUCCCAGCACUCCCUGAAGCAAACUUACAGUUUCUACACUUGCAGGAGGACAUAUCCCCAGCCAGGCAAGUUUUCACCAGUGUGUUCACUGAGGUUAUUAAACUAGGUAUUAACCUGGCAGCUUUUUCUGCUCUAGACAUCCAUCACAGACCCAUUUGACACAGCCAGUUUGAGACCAGCCUCUCGAGGCAGGGCUGUAGCUGUGCUGUAGUGGUUCAUGCUCAGCCUUGGCUGUUCCUACCCUUCUACCCCUUUUGCCUAAAAACUGGCACACCAGCAGCAUCCACUCAUGGUCAGAUAUCCCAUUUUAUGGAAAGUCUGUCUGUCCCACCACAGAGGGGAAAAAUUUCUCUGGGAGAGGGCGGCUGUCCAGUGCCCUGCUACUCUCCCACAGCUCCCACGCUCAGGAGGGACCAGGAUACACUGACAUCCCUUGGUGCAUCUCCCAGCUGCUCCAGGAAAGCCUGGCUUCUCCCAUACCCUUCCCUCUGAGACGCCCCAGCAAGGCUUUGUCCAAACCUGUGUGGCUGCUGACUGGAAAUAUUUCCCAACAAAACCUGUUCCUCCUAAGAUUCUUGGCUGGUUCUAGUCACUUAUUAUGUACUGGAAACACUAUCCGUGGGAUUAGUUUUCAGGUUAGAGACAUGCAUGUAGUUCUUUUUCUCACAAAUCCCCUGAUGUGCAAGAGCAGGUUGCAGCAAGUGGAAUGGAUGCACUUGCUCUGAUCAUUUGCCAGCAUGGCCCAAAAGCAGUGACCUGCUCAUUGCUGAUCAUUGGAGACAGAAGAGGUGUAUUACAAAUCCAUCUGCCUCUGACCCUUCAGGCUUGUUCCAUAUAUUACUUACUGGUGGUGUGCUGGGUCUAUUUUUAAAUGCCCUGACACCAGGGUUAUUGUGCUGUCCUUUGGGAGACUGCUCUGUGCUCCAAGUGAGGAGCUGCUGUUAGUUUUCCACCUGUAUUUUCUCUUGAAAACUUCAUUCCAUUAUUCCUAGUGAUGCUCUUCAAAUACCUGCUGUUCAUUAUGUUCUGCCACUUGACCUGCACUCUUCUUUCCCUUCCAAGAACAUCUCUGGCUCCCUGAUCACUGCUGCUCCCUGUCCUUCCCAUGGCUCGGCAUAUGACGAGCCUGUUCAUUAAUUCAGCCAUGCUGAGUUUGUCAGGGAUAUGUACCCACCACUGGAGCAGCCAGGAGUUCUGGCAACACCCAGUCUCCCAAGCAACUGUGGUGCUUCUCUCUCCCUCAUUGAGAAGCUUGUGGGGUGCAGGGAAGGGGCAGACACAGAGAUGUGUCCAAAAGCCAAUCAGUGUUGGCAGUGAGCACCUGUUUCCCAAGAUAUACGGAAGAAAUUCUUUACUGUGAGGGUGGUGAGGCCCUAGAACGGGUAGCCCAGAGAAGCUGUGGCUGCCCCUUCCCUGCAAGUGUUCAAGGCCAGUUUGGGCAGGGAUCUAAGCAACCUGGUCUAGUGAAGGUGUCCCUGCCCAUGGCAGGGGGUGGAAUGAAAUGAUCUUUAAGGUCCCUUCCUAGCCAAACCAUUCUGUGACUCUGAUCCCAUGGGAAGUGACCCCUGUUAGGGACAGCGCACAGCCAAGCCCCCAUCUCAGCAACAGCUCUCUGCAAGGAGGGAGCCCCACACCCUGUGAGCGUGGGGGGGUUGGCAGGCUCAGUGCACGUGGAGAGCUUGCGUGGGGAUCCUGUGUGUGCAGAACUCAGCUGGAGCACCAUCGUCAUUGUAAGAGCUCUGUUCUUCUCACUGAACAAAUUGUUCCGACAAAUAAAGAAUGAAAAGUC
Molecule: RNA transcript, 6018 nt
Organism: Pseudopipra pipra
Lineage: Eukaryota; Metazoa; Chordata; Aves; Passeriformes; Pipridae
Gene: ADRB2
Gene name: adrenoceptor beta 2
Exons: 2
Source: RefSeq, a predicted model, not a curated record